UGGAACGAGCGGCGGACGGGUGAGUAACACGUGGGCAACCUGCCUGUAAGACUGGGAUAACUCCGGGAAACCGGGGCUAAUACCGGAUAACUCAUCGGAUCGCAUGAUCCGAUGUUGAAAGAUGGCUUCUCGCUAUCACUUACAGAUGGGCCCGCGGCGCAUUAGCUAGUUGGUGAGGUAACGGCUCACCAAGGCCACGAUGCGUAGCCGACCUGAGAGGGUGAUCGGCCACACUGGGACUGAGACACGGCCCAGACUCCUACGGGAGGCAGCAGUAGGGAAUCAUCCGCAAUGGACGAAAGUCUGACGGUGCAACGCCGCGUGAGUGAGGAAGGCCUUCGGGUCGUAAAACUCUGUUGUUAGGGAAGAACAAGUUCCGUUCGAAUAGGGCGGAGCCUUGACGGUACCUAACCAGAAAGCCACGGCUAACUACGUGCCAGCAGCCGCGGUAAUACGUAGGUGGCAAGCGUUGUCCGGAAUUAUUGGGCGUAAAGCGCGCGCAGGCGGUUCCUUAAGUCUGAUGUGAAAGCCCACGGCUCAACCGUGGAGGGUCAUUGGAAACUGGGGAACUUGAAGACAGAAGAGGAGAGCGGAAUUCCACGUGUAGCGGUGAAAUGCGUAGAGAUGUGGAGGAACACCAGUGGCGAAGGCGGCUCUCUGGUCUGUGCUUGACGCUGAGGCGCGAAAGCGUGGGGGAGCGAACAGGAUUAGAUACCCUGG
RNAcentral lists this ribosomal RNA (720 nucleotides) under Piscibacillus halophilus. Its description in RNAcentral is "bacterial SSU rRNA". It matches the Rfam family "Bacterial small subunit ribosomal RNA", at positions 87 to 790 of the family's 1533-position model. Lineage: Bacteria; Bacillati; Bacillota; Bacilli; Caryophanales; Bacillaceae. The record is from RNAcentral.